UUAAAUGGCCGCAGUAUUUUGACUGUGCUAAGGUAGCAUAAUCAUUAGUUUUUUAAUUGAAAGCUAGAAUGAAGGGUUUGAUGAAAAAAAAACUGUCUUUUGAUAAUUAAAUUAAAAUUUUAUUAUUAAGUUAAAAAGCUUAAAUUUUUUUAAAAGACGAGAAGACCCUAUAGAGUUUGAUUUUUUUAUUUUAUAUAAUGUUUAGAAUUUAAAAUUAUAUUUUUUAUAAAAAUUUAAUUGGGGUGAUUGAAAAAUUUAAUAAACUUUUUUUAUUUUUAUUUAUAAAUUUAUAUAUUUUUGAUCCAUAUAAAUGAUUAUAAGAUUAAAUUACCUUAGGGAUAACAGCGUAAUUUUAUUGGAGAGUU
RNAcentral lists this ribosomal RNA (365 nucleotides) under Altica coerulea. RNAcentral describes it as "partial 16S ribosomal RNA". The record is from RNAcentral. Lineage: Eukaryota; Metazoa; Arthropoda; Insecta; Coleoptera; Chrysomelidae.